Molecule: ribosomal RNA, 332 nt
Filed under: uncultured eukaryote
Lineage: Eukaryota
Description: partial 18S ribosomal RNA
Rfam family: Eukaryotic small subunit ribosomal RNA
Source: RNAcentral
CCCUUAGAUGUUCUGGGCCGCACGCGCGCUACACUGACGAAGUCAGCGAGCAUGUCCUACGCCGACAGGUGCGGGGAAUCUUGUCAAACUUCGUCGUGAUGGGGAUUGAUUAUUGAAAUUCUUGAUCAUCAACGAGGAAUUCCUAGUAAGCGCAAGUCAGCAGCUUGCGUUGAUUACGUCCCUGCCCUUUGUACACACCGCCCGUCGCUACUACCGAUUGGAUGGUUUAGUGAGGCCCUCGGAUCGGCCCCGCCGGGGUCGGCCCACGGCCCUGGCGGAGCGCUGAGAAGACGGUCGAACUUGACUAUCUAGAGGAAGUAAAAGUCGUAACA